Molecule: ribosomal RNA, 96 nt
Filed under: uncultured bacterium
Lineage: Bacteria
Description: partial 16S ribosomal RNA
Rfam family: Bacterial small subunit ribosomal RNA
Source: RNAcentral
CACACCGCCCGUCACACCAUGGGAGUUUGUUGCACCAGAAGCAGGUAGCCUAACCGCAAGGGGGGCGCUUGCCACGGUGUGGCCGAUGACUGGGUG